AACGCGAAGAACCUUACCUAGAUUUGACAUGCUGGGAAAAGCCACAGAGAUGUGGUGUCCUUCGGGGCCCAGCACAGGUGGUGCAUGGCUGUCGUCAGCUCGUGUCGUGAGAUGUUGGGUUAAGUCCCGCAACGAGCGCAACCCUUGUUCUAUGUUGCCAGCACGUAAUGGUGGGGACUCGUAGAAGACUGCCGGGGUCAACUCGGAGGAAGGUGGGGACGACGUCAAGUCAUCAUGCCCCUUACGUCUAGGGCUGCACACAUGCUACAAUGGGCGGUACAGAGGGCUGCUAAACCGCGAGGUGGAGCCAAUCCCUAAAACCGCUCUCAGUUCAGAUUGCAGGCUGCAACUCGCCUGCAUGAAGUUGGAGUUGCUAGUAAUCCCGGAUCAGCACUGCCGGGGUGAAUACGUUCCCGGGCCUUGUA
This 425-nucleotide ribosomal RNA is filed under the name uncultured Actinomycetes bacterium. RNAcentral's name for it is "bacterial SSU rRNA". It matches the Rfam family "Bacterial small subunit ribosomal RNA", at positions 958 to 1385 of the family's 1533-position model. Lineage: Bacteria; Bacillati; Actinomycetota; Actinomycetes. The record is from RNAcentral.